GCAGACUUGUGUGAGAGGUUGAAACAACCAUCUUGGAAAGGUGGCAUACGCCAAAAGCGUAUCACAGGUUCGAAUCCUGUAGUCUGCGCCA
This 91-nucleotide transfer RNA is filed under the name Erysipelotrichaceae bacterium. RNAcentral describes it as "tRNA-Ser". It matches the Rfam family "tRNA". From Rfam's summary of the family: Transfer RNA (tRNA) molecules are approximately 80 nucleotides in length. Their secondary structure includes four short double-helical elements and three loops (D, anti-codon, and T loops). The record is from RNAcentral. Lineage: Bacteria; Bacillati; Bacillota; Erysipelotrichia; Erysipelotrichales; Erysipelotrichaceae.